This is a long non-coding RNA of Diceros bicornis minor, 1870 nucleotides long. RefSeq lists it as uncharacterized. The record is from RefSeq and is a predicted model, not a curated record. The transcript is spliced from 3 exons. NCBI's taxonomy places the organism in Eukaryota, Metazoa, Chordata, Mammalia, Perissodactyla, Rhinocerotidae.
UUCUACCUGUAAACUGGACUGCAUCCUGAAUUCUUCUAGUCUUCUGAAAUAUCUGGCUACAAAUAUGCAAACGAACUGUUCCAUUUUUCCAUCAUUUUUAUUUGAAAUCAUUGAGAGCUGAAACCACCCUUUUUCCUAAAGCCCUGUGAACUGAAGCUCGACAACUUGAUAUAAACCUUAUAGAGAUCACCACAACAGCAUGCUGUUUAAGCCACUCAAAAGGAUACCUGAACACCCAAUGACAUCAUCAGAGACAUUUCAAGCUGCAAAAGAUGCUUUGACCCUGACAUCUAGAAAUCUUCUUCACUGGCUGUCCCCUGGGCUCAGAAACUGGUUUAUAAUUUGCUCCAAUCAUUAACCUUGUUUUUCUUUUUGUUUCCAUAGAAAUACUUCUUGUUAAAUACCUGAUGGAUUGCUUACACAGUAUAGGCCUAACUUUUGGAGCCCACCUGUAUCACUGCCUCCUAAAAUGAAUUUAACUAGACUGAUCUAUUACCAGGACUAAGAAAUGUGUUCAGUGAGAUGGAACAACCUACCAACUCAGCUUCUGGACUAUGAAACGUCCUAAAGUUUCAAAGGACUGUGAAACUUCUUAAAGUUGCAAAGAGACCCUAAGAAAACACACAUCCUGACACUGACCUUUAUGUUUUCUGAGGAGAUCAUUCUAACAUCAAUACAAUUGAUAAAUACUCUGAGUCCACAGCAGGAUUUUCCCAGCAGGAAGCAUUAAAUCCCUGAAGAUGCUCAGGAGAAAAUCUCCCAGUCUCUUUAUUUGAGCCGGAGUUAGAUGAAUGAUGGAUCACAAGGAUGAGAGUUUCUAAGAAGCUGAUUCUCAUGCCUUGCCUUGGUGGAUGCUUCCUGUAGAGUUGGCGGUUGUCAGCCCCAUCUGUUGUGAACUGGCCCAAAGCCAGCAGCUUUAAUUCUCAAAACUGGAAAUCAAGUGUGGGGUAUUAGGGGUACAGGAACCACAGGAUGUGGAUAUUCUGGGUGUCUGGCGCCUCCUAAGAAAGAUGCAUCUGUUGGAAUAGGCAGCUGGUGAGAAGACUGAGUCAGCAGCAGACGUGAGCAGUUUCCCAGCACUCAGGUCCCAUCUGUCCCACACUUUCCACCUCUCUCUUAGAACACGGGCUCCUCCAGGCUUAUUAGCCAAUCUGUAUAGUCAGAUCUGACUACUGGGAUCAGUGUGAUGGCAUAAACAAUGCUGAACAAGGAGAUGUUUCCUCCAUAUGUGAUGGAGACCAGAUGGUUUGGGCUGUGGAAGCCAAAGAUCCAUGGCAGGACCAUCCUAAUCCCUCCUGGCAAACAACCUAUCCAGAGAGAACAUCAUUGUAGGAAGAGAGUUUCUCUCUUGCUUUUCUCAUUAAACUAGAUGUGAAUACAAGACAAUAAAUAAUGAGUGUUGGAGAAGAUGUGGAGAAAAGAGAACCCUCAUACACUGCUGGGGGGAAUGAAAACUGAUGCAGCCACUAUGGAAAACAGUAUGGAGAUUUCUCAAAAAAUUAUAAUAGAAAUACUAUAUGACCCAGCUAUCCCAAUACAGGAUAUUUAUACAAAGAAUGUGAAAUCAACAAUUCAAAGAGAUGUAUGCACCCCUAUAUUCAUUGCAACAUUAUUCACAAUAGCCAAGAUGUGGAAGCAAGCCAAGGCUCAUCAACUGAUGAAUGGAUAAAGACGUGGUAUACAGACCCAAUGGAAUACUACUUAGCCAUAAAAAAAGACAAAAUAGUCCCAUUUACAACAACGUGGGUGGGCCUUGAGGGCAUUACGUUUAGUGAAAUAAGCCAUACAGGGAAAGACAAACACGUUUGAUUUCAUUCAAAUGUGGAAGAAAAACUAACACAUGGACGAAGAGAAAGAUUAGUGGUUACCA